UCGACGAUGAUCCCGCUUGCUGGGGGAUUAGUGGCGAACGGGUGAGUAACACGUGAGUAACCUGCCCUUAACUCUGGGAUAAGCCUGGGAAACUGGGUCUAAUACCGGAUAUGACUCCUCAUCGCAUGGUGGGGGGUGGAAAGCUUUAUUGUGGUUUUGGAUGGACUCGCGGCCUAUCAGCUUGUUGGUGAGGUAAUGGCUCACCAAGGCGACGACGGGUAGCCGGCCUGAGAGGGUGACCGGCCACACUGGGACUGAGACACGGCCCAGACUCCUACGGGAGGCAGCAGUGGGGAAUAUUGCACAAUGGGCGAAAGCCUGAUGCAGCGACGCCGCGUGAGGGAUGACGGCCUUCGGGUUGUAAACCUCUUUCAGUAGGGAAGAAGCGAAAGUGACGGUACCUGCAGAAGAAGCGCCGGCUAACUACGUGCCAGCAGCCGCGGUAAUACGUAGGGCGCAAGCGUUAUCCGGAAUUAUUGGGCGUAAAGAGCUCGUAGGCGGUUUGUCGCGUCUGCCGUGAAAGUCCGGGGCUCAACUCCGGAUCUGCGGUGGGUACGGGCAGACUAGAGUGAUGUAGGGGAGACUGGAAUUCCUGGUGUAGCGGUGAAAUGCGCAGAUAUCAGGAGGAACACCGAUGGCGAAGGCAGGUCUCUGGGCAUUAACUGACGCUGAGGAGCGAAAGCAUGGGGAGCGAACAGGAUUAGAUACCCUGGUAGUCCAUGCCGUANACGUUGGGCACUAGGUGUGGGGGNCAUUCCACGUUUUCCGCGCC
RNAcentral lists this ribosomal RNA (772 nucleotides) under uncultured bacterium. RNAcentral's name for it is "bacterial SSU rRNA". It matches the Rfam family "Bacterial small subunit ribosomal RNA", at positions 62 to 847 of the family's 1533-position model. The record is from RNAcentral.